Molecule: ribosomal RNA, 254 nt
Filed under: uncultured bacterium
Lineage: Bacteria
Description: partial 16S ribosomal RNA
Rfam family: Bacterial small subunit ribosomal RNA
Source: RNAcentral
UACGGGGGGAGCAAGCGUUGUUCGGAUUUACUGGGCGUAAAGGGCGCGUAGGCGGCCACUGCAAGUCAGUUGUGAAAUCUCCGGGCUUAACCCGGAAAGGUCAACUGAUACUGCAGGGCUAGAGUGCAGAAGGGGCAACUGGAAUUCUCGGUGUAGCGGUGAAAUGCGUAGAUAUCGAGAGGAACACCUGCGGCGAAGGCGGGUUGCUGGGCUGACACUGACGCUGAGGCGCGAAAGCUAGGGGAGCGAACGGG